Molecule: long non-coding RNA, 1618 nt
Filed under: Pelobates cultripes (western spadefoot toad)
Lineage: Eukaryota; Metazoa; Chordata; Amphibia; Anura; Pelobatidae
Source: RNAcentral
GGAACUUUAAUGACACACAGAAGGCAAGGCCAGGCAAGCUUUUAACUGAGCAGGAGAUAGAAAAUUCUAAAUUAAACACACUGUGCAAUAAAGGAAGUUUGACCUCACUUUACAGGAAGUGUUUAGGAAGACUGUGUAAGUUACAUGCAUGGAGGUGUGGCUAGGGCUACAUAGACCAAGUGAUUUAAUGCCUAAAUGGCAGAUAAUUUAGCAGUGAGAUUGCAGGGGUGUGAUCUAUACAACAUAACUGCUUCAUUAAGCUAAAGUUGUUUUGGUGACAAUAGUCUCCCUUUAACAAAAUUAUAAUUUAAAUGAUAUUCAGACAGAAACACUGGUGAUGCGAUGCUAUGUUUAAAUACAUUGUCAAAUAAGGCUCAAUAAGUCCAAAGAGUGAUUUUCAAAAUAUAAAGUAAUUCUUACAACCGUAGGCACCGCACGUCAUUCACACAUUCAGUACUAUUGGAGCAAUCAUCUUUUUCUCUCAGCAACAGAUCAGCUCCAGGCCCCACAGAGACCGGCAUUGAUACGCUUAAUUGUAGCUUUAUCAAUCUGCUCAGAGUCAAAAUCUGCAGUUAUAUACAAUGUGCAAAAAGAAGGUCAUAGACUAUGCUUAUUCCAGUCAUCAACGACUUGCUACAAUGAAACAUAAUAUCCCAUGUCAAAUAAAGACAUAUCUAAAAUAUUGUGCUUUUCUUGGGACCAGAGUUACAGAGCUGUAUCAACCCUCUCUCCUUCUACCUCUGGUUGAACUGCAAAGAGUGAACUUUUUAACCUUGGCAUUAUCAUUCUUUUGGCAGCAGUGAAAAUGCAGCAGAGUUUGAGAUUACAGCCAGGCUAGGCAAAACACACAGGUAAACAUUUACUCUGAAUGUGUGUGUGUUUCCCUCUCUGCUAGGGGAUCAGACUGUGUGUCUCAGCUUGUACAAGAUGCAGAGAAGGGACACUCAACGAAAAAUCAGUGUCAGGCAGAAAGCCAAAUGUUCUAAUCAAAGACGACCAUUGUAUCGCCAAAGAGAGUAAGCAAGCAUUGGGUUUUUAAAGGAUACAGAAAUAACUUAACAUGUAUUAUUAGGAUCUCCCUGAUGACUCUCCUGCUUUAAGUGUCUGAGAAUUGCUUGGUUUGAAGAGGUGAUUGACCGUGCCACCUCGGUGCACACAAUACGACAAUGGAUACAAAUUGUUUUCAUUAUUUUUUUGUGGGCAAUCUGGAAUUUGCUGUUCUGCUUAGAAAAUACAAAGAAAAUAAAAUUCUCUCUUCAGCAGAAGUACAUCUGGUCCUGGGUUAUAGGGUAUAAAGGUCUUAAUCCGCUCACCAAAGAGAAAUACAUUCUGCUGCACACAGGAAUGGGCUAGCAACAUAGAAUGCAUCAGAACAGAACAAAAAAAGAAUACAUGUUUUAAAAGUAAACUACAUGCACAUCUGGUUUUAUCGCACAAGAUAUUUAAAUAUAAAUUUGCACUGAAAAGUACUUAAACCGAUUAACUAAAGGCAGCAAACACGGUGUAUAGGGACCCCUCUAUGGCUAAGCCUCUAUUGCUGGUGAAAAAUGAUUCUUUUUUAAACUACUGUAAUUCAUUAAUAAUUGUAGUGACAUUUUAUAAGUAUUGCAUAUAUUGC